CUAAAUGUAGUUUAAUAAAGAACAUUUUACUUACAAUAAAAAGGUAUUAUAGUUAAUCAUUUUGA
RNAcentral lists this transfer RNA (65 nucleotides) under Fabaeformiscandona kushiroensis. RNAcentral describes it as "tRNA-Val". It matches the Rfam family "tRNA". Rfam says of the family: Transfer RNA (tRNA) molecules are approximately 80 nucleotides in length. Lineage: Eukaryota; Metazoa; Arthropoda; Ostracoda; Podocopida; Candonidae. The record is from RNAcentral.